UGGGGAAUAUUGGACAAUGGGGGGAACCCUGAUCCAGCCAUGCCGCGUGUGUGAAGAAGGCCUUAUGGUUGUAAAGCACUUUAAGCGAGGAGGAGGGUACUGGUAUUAAUACUACCAGCUACUGGACGUUACUCGCAGAAUAAGCACCGGCUAACUCUGUGCCAGCAGCCGCGGUAAUACAGAGGGUGCGAGCGUUAAUCGGAUUUACUGGGCGUAAAGCGUGCGUAGGCGGCUAAUUGAGUCGGAUGUGAAAUCCCCGAGCUUAACUUGGGAAUUGCAUUCGAUACUGGUUAGCUAGAGUGUGGGAGAGGAUGGUAGAAUUCCAGGUGUGGCGGUGAAAUGCGUAGAGAUCUGGAGGAAUACCGAUUGCGAGGGCAGCCAUCUGGCCUAACACUGACGCUGAGGUACGAAAGCAUGGGGAGCAAACAGG
This 430-nucleotide ribosomal RNA is filed under the name Pseudomonadota bacterium. RNAcentral's name for it is "Proteobacteria bacterium partial 16S ribosomal RNA". It matches the Rfam family "Bacterial small subunit ribosomal RNA", at positions 355 to 776 of the family's 1533-position model. The record is from RNAcentral. Lineage: Bacteria; Pseudomonadati; Pseudomonadota.